RNAcentral lists this long non-coding RNA (581 nucleotides) under Vigna radiata. RNAcentral's name for it is "long non-coding RNA (VRAD_LNC004569)". The record is from RNAcentral. Lineage: Eukaryota; Viridiplantae; Streptophyta; Magnoliopsida; Fabales; Fabaceae.
CAUAAUCUUCCAAUGUUCCUCCAUUCCAUGCAUUCACGCCACCGAUUCUCCUCACCAAAUCAUUCCAUAACCACAAUAAUCUAGAAAUACCAUUUACUAUAAUUAGCUAGUCGUUAAGGGGAAUAUUCGCUGGCACAGUUAGGUCCGGAAAAAAGAAGUCACUACUAGCACCAAUUGUGUCGAAGGUUUUGGUGAUCGUGAUGGUGGAUUGUAGCAUUAUAGUGAGAUCUGCUGGAAAGGAACUUUGGUGACUAUGUUUGAGACCCUUUCGAGAAAAAGGAUGAAGAAGAAGGAAAAGAGUAGAGGAAAGCAAUAUACCAUUUCCCAAUGUUCUGUUCGCUACUGUUUGCAAGUAUUGGCAUUGCUUCCUCCACACUUGGGCCAUUUUCCUCUCUGCGCGAUUGCUGCUGCCAAUAUUGUUGUGCUAUUCUCCCAUAUUUUUUUCCAUUACCCUCAAAUCCCUUCCUUCAAUCUGAUCGCUGUCAUUACUGUCACCCAUUGCAAAAGUGAAAGGUUCAUAUCAUUUUUUUUCUUGUUUUUUGGUAUCUAAUAAUGCAAUAUUUUUGUAUUUUUUUUAGGUU